Molecule: unclassified non-coding RNA, 285 nt
Filed under: Glomeraceae sp.
Lineage: Eukaryota; Fungi; Glomeromycota; Glomeromycetes; Glomerales; Glomeraceae
Description: partial contains 5.8S ribosomal RNA and internal transcribed spacer 2
Rfam family: 5.8S ribosomal RNA (bases 1-71)
Source: RNAcentral
GUGAAUCAUCGAAUUUUUGAACGCAAAUUGCACUCUCUGGUAUUCCGGGGAGUAUGCCUGUUUGAGGGUCAGUUUAAAUUAAAAAUCGAGGUGUUGCUUUUUUUUGUUGCGCGUCGGAAGUGGUGGAUCUUUGUCCCUUGGAUUUUUUAAGAGACCUAAAAUUGAUACUUUUUGCAUCGCAGACGAACGUAAGGAAUAUUUUUUUUUUUUUAUGCGUCCGGAGUUAGCGGAUGUUUAUUAGGUAUGAACUUGUUUUUUUUUGGUAUCUUACCUGAACUAUACUAU